UCUGUAGCAAUCGGAAGUGGUUCCAAGAAAAGCCUCUAAGCUUCAGUCAUACGAGACCGUACCGCAAACCGACACAGGUGGGCGAGAUGAGUAUUCUAAGGCGCUUGAGAGAACUCGGGAGAAGGAACUCGGCAAAUUGGUACCGUAACUUCGGGAAAAGGUACGCCCCGGUAGCUUGGUCACUUUACUGUGAUAGGGCGAAAGGGUUGCAAUAAACUGGUGGCUGCGACUGUUUAAUAAAAACACAGCACUCUGCAAACACGAAAGUGGACGUAUAGGGUGUGACGCCUGCCCGGUGCUGGAAGAUUAAAUGAUGGGGUGCAAGCUCUUGAUUGAAGUCCCAGUAAACGGCGGCCGUAACUAUAACGGUCCUAAGGUAGCGAAAUUCCUUGUCGGGUAAGUUCCGACCUGCACGAAUGGCGUAACGAUGGCCACACUGUCUCCUCCCGAGACUCAGCGAAGUUGAAGUGUUUGUGAUGAUGCAAUCUACCCGCGGCUAGACGGAAAGACCCCAUGAACCUUUACUGUAGCUUUGCAUUGGACUUUGAAUCAAUCUGUGUAGGAUAGGUGGGAGGCUUUGAAGCGGGAACGCCAGUUCUCGUGGAGCCAACCUUGAAAUACCACCCUGGUUCAUUUGAGGUUCUAACCUUGGCCCGUUAUCCGGGUCGGGGACAGUGCAUGGUAGGCAGUUUGACUGGGGCGGUCUCCUCCUAAAGUGUAACGGAGGAGUUCGAAGGUACGCUAGUUACGGUCGGACAUCGUGACGAUAGUGCAAUGGCAUAAGCGUGCUUAACUGCGAGACUGACAAGUCGAGCAGGUACGAAAGUAGGACAUAGUGAUCCGGUGGUUCUGUAUGGAAGGGCCAUCGCUCAACGGAUAAAAGGUACUCUGGGGAUAACAGGCUGAUUCCUCCCAAGAGUUCAUAUCGACGGGGGAGUUUGGCACCUCGAUGUCGGCUCAUCACAUCCUGGGGCUGUAGCCGGUCCCAAGGGUAUGGCUGUUCGCCAUUUAAAGUGGUACGUGAGCUGGGUUUAAAACGUCGUGAGACAGUUUGGUCCCUAUCUGCCGUGGGCGUUGGAAAUUUGAAGGGGGCUGCUCCUAGUACGAGAGGACCGGAGUGGACGAACCUCUGGUGUACCGGUUGUCACGCCAGUGGCAUUGCCGGGUAGCUAAGUUCGGAAGAGAUAACCGCUGAAAGCAUCUAAGCGGGAAACUUGCCUUGAGAUGAGAUUUCCCAGAGCCUUGAGCUCUUUGAAGGGUCGUUCGAGACCAGGACGUUGAUAGGCUGGGUGUGGAAGUGCAGUAAUGCAUUAAGCUAACCAGUACUAAUUGCCCGUACGGCUUGUCCCU
Molecule: ribosomal RNA, 1350 nt
Filed under: Duganella sp. 3397
Lineage: Bacteria; Pseudomonadati; Pseudomonadota; Betaproteobacteria; Burkholderiales; Oxalobacteraceae
Description: partial 23S ribosomal RNA
Rfam family: Bacterial large subunit ribosomal RNA
Source: RNAcentral